UACGAAGGGGGCGAGUGUUGUUCGGAUUUACUGGGCGUAAAGGGCGCGUAGGCGGCGGCCCAAGUCGAGUGUGAAAGCCCCGGGCUCAACCUGGGAGGUGCGCUCGAGACUGGUCUGCUUGAGUUCGGGAGAGGAGCGUGGAAUUCCCAGUGUAGAGGUGAAAUUCGUAGAUAUUAGGAAGAACACCAGUGGCGAAGGCGGCUCACUGGCCCGGUACUGACGCUGAGGCGCGAGAGCGUGGGGAGCAAACAGG
RNAcentral lists this ribosomal RNA (253 nucleotides) under uncultured bacterium. Its description in RNAcentral is "partial 16S ribosomal RNA". It matches the Rfam family "Bacterial small subunit ribosomal RNA", at positions 524 to 776 of the family's 1533-position model. The record is from RNAcentral.